AGAUGAUUUUUUUUUUCUUAAAUGUUGGACCUUUUUUUCUUUGUAUUUUGCAUAAAAAAACAACUUGGAUUGAAUAAGGCACUUUGCAACUGAUCUUUUACUUGGAAUUCUCACCAAAAAGUUUCUUAAUUCCUAAGGAACCUUUGAAUUAUGGUUCCAAUGAAGACUCCCCAUAUCCCAGCAGAUAAGCAAGAAACAUGAAGAAUUUAAUCUUCUCUUUAUCUCCUUUGAAAUUUUU
Molecule: unclassified non-coding RNA, 238 nt
Filed under: Hevea brasiliensis (rubber tree)
Lineage: Eukaryota; Viridiplantae; Streptophyta; Magnoliopsida; Malpighiales; Euphorbiaceae
Source: RNAcentral